UAUAUUGUUGAUUAUUCUUUUAACUUCUAGUUAUAUCAGUUUGAGGACUGCCUCGUUAUUUCAUUCUGGUAAAUAGGUUUUUGCUUUUUUGUGGGAAUAUAGGUAAAUUCUGCCUUCAACGGGAAACGUAAGAUGUUACGGAGAUCACUCCAGCACAUAUGCACAUCCCUCGAAAUUGAACAAGCUUUGGGAAGAUUUGGUCUUCCAGCUACUUCCAGACCAGAGGAGCUUACAUUGGAUGAUUUCGUGAAGCUGCAUAACUUGAUUGCCUAAGAAUAGUGCUUCUGGUUUUUAUGAACGGCAACUUAAAAGGCUGACGUCCCAACACAGCCUGAUAUACCACAUUGUGGAGAUUGCACCAGAGUUAAAAGGCAAACAUGGUCCCAGAUAUUUCUACAUGAUUAAAAUCAUGUCAUCAUCCAUUGCUGAAACGUGAAUUGGAGAUGACAUAGGUUGUGGGUAAGUCUACUUGGACGCAUUAUGAGGGCCAAAGCGGCACACUUGUGGCUGAAACAGCAUUUAUGAGCCCCAAAAGUCAAGCUCAUGCAAUGAAUAUAAGCAUGGUGUGCACCAUUGCUCAUCUUCCCCUGCAAACCCUGGUUUCUUUGUCCUUACUUUUUAUUCCACCCAUCUGAUCGUACCAUAAGUUGAGUUGUACAUGCAGAUGAAUAUUUAUGCACAAGUUUAGAGAUGUCAUGAUUUUGUAAUGCUCUUACGAGAAGAUAACAGGGACAUCAAAUGGUUU
Long non-coding RNA from Juglans microcarpa x Juglans regia, 745 nucleotides. RefSeq lists it as uncharacterized. The record is from RefSeq and is a predicted model, not a curated record. Lineage: Eukaryota; Viridiplantae; Streptophyta; Magnoliopsida; Fagales; Juglandaceae. The transcript is spliced from 2 exons.